GGGUGCGAUCAUACCAGCACUAAUGCGUCGGAUCCCAUCAGAACUCCGCAGUUAAGCGUGCUUCGGCGAGAGUAGUACUACGAUCGGUGACCUCCUAGGAAGUCCUCGUGUUCCACCCC
This 119-nucleotide ribosomal RNA is filed under the name Theobroma cacao (cacao). The record is from RNAcentral. Lineage: Eukaryota; Viridiplantae; Streptophyta; Magnoliopsida; Malvales; Malvaceae.